Molecule: long non-coding RNA, 283 nt
Organism: Mytilus trossulus (common blue mussel)
Lineage: Eukaryota; Metazoa; Mollusca; Bivalvia; Mytilida; Mytilidae
Exons: 3
Source: RefSeq, a predicted model, not a curated record
AUAGGACGGAGAAACAACAUUACACUUGGCAGCUUUCAGUGGAAACAUUGAGUUAACAAACUGGUUGAUAAAACAAAAAGGGAUGGAUCCAAUGGUUAAAACAACUAAGGAAGGUCAAACAGCCUUACAUUUGGCAGCUUUAGGUGGAAAGUUGGAGAUGACAGAAUGGCUGAUAGGUGAAAAAGGAAUGAAUCCCAUGGUAAAAACAUCUCAGGAAGGUAAAACAGCCUUACAUUUGGCAGCUGAAAAUGGAAAGUUAGAGGUAACAACAUGGCUGAUUGAA